AAAACAAACUCUGAGGAUAUGUAAAACUAUUUAUGGCUCUUUUUUUCAGAGGCAAAGAAUUGGAAACUGAGGACGUUUCCAUCAACUGGGAAUGACUGAACAAGUUAUGCUUAUUUUGCAGAUGAGAAAACUGAGGCAAAUAGGGUGACUUUCCCAGGAUCACACAGUCCUGGACUUGUUUACUUUGUUCUGACUCAUUCUCAUGUAAGUAAUUCAAUACCUCACACAAUUCUAUCAAAGUGAACAAAUCAUACUAGGGGAAAUAGUGUUUGAAAAAAUUUUUUAGAUUUAGGUGUGCAACCCCUUAGAAAUUGUCUAUGGACAUGGCUAGCCGACUCCUCAUUAUCGGCUUCUAGACCUAAGAUUGAA
RNAcentral lists this long non-coding RNA (369 nucleotides) under Monodelphis domestica (gray short-tailed opossum). RNAcentral's name for it is "lncRNA (ENSMODG00000030768.2)". Lineage: Eukaryota; Metazoa; Chordata; Mammalia; Didelphimorphia; Didelphidae. The record is from RNAcentral.